GGCCUCGUGGCGUAAUGGCAACGCGUCUGACUUCGAAUCAGAAGAUUGCAGGUUCGAUCCCUGCCGUGGUCA
Non-coding RNA from Auricularia subglabra TFB-10046 SS5, 72 nucleotides. Lineage: Eukaryota; Fungi; Basidiomycota; Agaricomycetes; Auriculariales; Auriculariaceae. The record is from Rfam.